GCUCGGUUAGCUCAGUUGGUUAGAGCGUCGUACUAAUAUCUCGCCUGGGGCGACAUAUAAAGUAAUGCGAAGGUCAUGAGUUCAACCCUCAUACUGAGCA
RNAcentral lists this transfer RNA (100 nucleotides) under Microdochium trichocladiopsis. It matches the Rfam family "tRNA". Rfam says of the family: Transfer RNA (tRNA) molecules are approximately 80 nucleotides in length. Lineage: Eukaryota; Fungi; Ascomycota; Sordariomycetes; Xylariales; Microdochiaceae. The record is from Rfam by way of RNAcentral.